GGGCCCAAUAACUGUUAGGUGAGAGACCCAAUGACGGCUUUGCACUUGCUUAUGAACAGUGGGUCUGAUUUAACUAAGGAGUGUAAACAAUAACUAUUAGGUGAGCCUACAUGACUUAGAGACCAAGUCACUGCAAUAUACUUAGAGAAGCAUCUGGGCAAAGAGUUGUCUAUGCAUUGGUGUACAUGUUAUCAAUAACUGUUAGGUGAGGUGCAUGGCAUCGGUGGGACCGUAGCACCUAC
RNAcentral lists this long non-coding RNA (242 nucleotides) under Elaeis guineensis (African oil palm). RNAcentral's name for it is "long non-coding RNA (EGUI_LNC033781)". The record is from RNAcentral. Lineage: Eukaryota; Viridiplantae; Streptophyta; Magnoliopsida; Arecales; Arecaceae.